Molecule: ribosomal RNA, 599 nt
Filed under: Lyomyces crustosus
Lineage: Eukaryota; Fungi; Basidiomycota; Agaricomycetes; Hymenochaetales; Schizoporaceae
Description: partial 28S ribosomal RNA
Rfam family: Eukaryotic large subunit ribosomal RNA
Source: RNAcentral
UAACAAGGAUUCCCCUAGUAACUGCGAGUGAAGCGGGAAGAGCUCAAAUUUAAAAUCUGGCGGUUUCACCGUCCGAGUUGUAAUCUGGAGAAGCAUUUUCCGCGUUGGACCGUGUACAAGUCUCUUGGAAUAGAGCGUCAUAGAGGGUGAGAAUCCCGUCCAUGACACGGACUACCAGUGCUUUGUGAUAUGCUCUCAAAGAGUCGAGUUGUUUGGGAAUGCAGCUCAAAAUGGGUGGUAAAUUCCAUCUAAAGCUAAAUAUUGGCGAGAGACCGAUAGCGAACAAGUACCGUGAGGGAAAGAUGAAAAGCACUUUGGAAAGAGAGUUAAACAGUACGUGAAAUUGUUGAAAGGGAAACGCUUGAAGUCAGUCGCGUUGUCCGGGACUCAGCCUUGCUAUUUGCUUGGUGUACUUCCUGGUUGACGGGUCAACAUCAAUUUUGGCUGGUGGAUAAAGGCUGAGAGAAGGUGGCAUCCUCGGAUGUGUUAUAGCUCUUGGUUGCAUACGCUGGCUGGGAUUGAGGUCUGCAGCACGCCUUUUUGGCCGGGGUUCGCCCACGUAACGUGCUUAGGAUGUUGGCAUAAUGGCUUUAAGCGAC